AUGACUAACUUGGAGAAGCUACUAGCUAUGUUUGGUCUCUUGGUGUUCCUGUCACACCUCCGUGUCCAUGGCGUCUCCGUGUCCGUGGGCAGUAGCGCGAAUGUUACUACAGAGAGCAGCCACAGUCGUGGCAGGUGCCACAUCAGUGGCUUCCUGCAUGGCAAAUCCGGCGACUGCAACAGGGAUCAUGGCUCGGUCUGCUGUAAAGACGGUCACCGCUACCCGCAAUUCAGGUGCUCGCCCCCGGUGUCGGCCGACACGCCGGCGAUCCUAACUCUGAACAGCUUCGCACGAGGUGGA
This 300-nucleotide ribosomal RNA is filed under the name Triticum aestivum (bread wheat). RNAcentral describes it as "partial small subunit ribosomal RNA". Lineage: Eukaryota; Viridiplantae; Streptophyta; Magnoliopsida; Poales; Poaceae. The record is from RNAcentral.